RNAcentral lists this ribosomal RNA (469 nucleotides) under uncultured bacterium. RNAcentral's name for it is "partial 16S ribosomal RNA". It matches the Rfam family "Bacterial small subunit ribosomal RNA", at positions 27 to 507 of the family's 1533-position model. The record is from RNAcentral.
GGACGAACGCUGGCGGCGUGCUUAACACAUGCAAGUCGAACGGAAAGGCCCUGCUUUUGUGGGGUGCUCGAGUGGCGAACGGGUGAGUAACACGUGAGUAACCUGCCCUUGACUUUGGGAUAACUUCAGGAAACUGGGGCUAAUACCGGAUAGGAGCUCCUGCUGCAUGGUGGGGGUUGGAAAGUUUCGGCGGUUGGGGAUGGACUCGCGGCUUAUCAGCUUGUUGGUGGGGUAGUGGCUUACCAAGGCUUUGACGGGUAGCCGGCCUGAGAGGGUGACCGGACACAUUGGGACUGAGAUACGGCCCAGACUCCUACGGGAGGCAGCAGUGGGGAAUAUUGCACAAUGGGCGGAAGCCUGAUGCAGCAACGCCGCGUGCGGGAUGACGGCCUUCGGGUUGUAAACCGCUUUCGCCUGUGACGAAGCGUGAGUGACGGUAAUGGGUAAAGAAGCACCGGCUAACUACGUG